GGCCGGCUGGCGCAAUGGUAGCGCAUCAGACUUCUACGAUCUCUUGGCAAUUACCAGAGGUUUGGCAAUCUGGGGGUUGUGGGUUCGAGCCCCACGUUGGUCA
This 103-nucleotide transfer RNA is filed under the name Colletotrichum orchidophilum. It matches the Rfam family "tRNA". Rfam says of the family: Transfer RNA (tRNA) molecules are approximately 80 nucleotides in length. Their secondary structure includes four short double-helical elements and three loops (D, anti-codon, and T loops). Lineage: Eukaryota; Fungi; Ascomycota; Sordariomycetes; Glomerellales; Glomerellaceae. The record is from Rfam by way of RNAcentral.